This 62-nucleotide transfer RNA is filed under the name Urostylis sp. HL-2012. RNAcentral's name for it is "tRNA-Thr". Lineage: Eukaryota; Metazoa; Arthropoda; Insecta; Hemiptera; Urostylididae. The record is from RNAcentral.
GUUUUAAUAGCUUAAAUAAAAUAGUGAUUUUGUAAAUCAUAGAUGGAAUAUACCUUAAAACU